AAAGGGUCGUAUCGUUGGAUCAGUUUGUAUUGGUUCGUCAGUGCAAGAGGUUGUACAGAAUGCUUCGUCAGCUGUUGAUUGCUAGUCUGGUUCUUAUGUUUGUGGUCGGAUGCCUGGCACCCUUCCCUCGGGAGGAUCCAA
Molecule: long non-coding RNA, 141 nt
Organism: Eurytemora carolleeae
Lineage: Eukaryota; Metazoa; Arthropoda; Copepoda; Calanoida; Temoridae
Exons: 2
Source: RefSeq, a predicted model, not a curated record